UCCGUAGGCGGGCGUCUAAGUCAGUGGUGAAAUCUUACAGCUCAACUGUAAAAUUGCCAUUGAUACUGGAUGUCUUGAAUUAGUGUGAAGUGGUUAGAAUGUGUAGUGAAGCGGUGAAAUGCAUAGAUAUUACACAGAAUACCAAUUGCGAAGGCAGAUCACUAACACUAAAUUGACGCUGAGGGACGAAAGCGUGGGGAGCGAACAGGAUUAGAUACCCUGGUAGUCC
RNAcentral lists this ribosomal RNA (229 nucleotides) under uncultured bacterium. RNAcentral describes it as "partial 16S ribosomal RNA". It matches the Rfam family "Bacterial small subunit ribosomal RNA", at positions 568 to 796 of the family's 1533-position model. The record is from RNAcentral.